RNAcentral lists this unclassified non-coding RNA (637 nucleotides) under Hevea brasiliensis (rubber tree). The record is from RNAcentral. Lineage: Eukaryota; Viridiplantae; Streptophyta; Magnoliopsida; Malpighiales; Euphorbiaceae.
AAAAAAAGCAACAUUCUUGAGACAAAAAAGAUUCUUGCUUUGAGGAAUUGGUUGCAAAAAUGGCGACAAUCACAGCGGGUAUAAGCCUCAGAGGACCAGUAGUGGGUGGUUACAGGACAUUUGCAGUGACCAAAAGGGCUUUACCCAAGGUGAAAUUCAGCUCAGAGUUGAGUUUUGUGACUUCUCAAUUGAGUGGCAUCAAGAUUUCAAGCACCCAUUUGAGCUCUCCUGCUUCACUUUCUGUUCCUUUCAAGACAGCCCUUCAACCUGUUGCUCGUAGAGUAUGCCCCUUCACUGGCAAGAAGUCCAACAGGGCAAACAAGGUCUCUCAUUCAAACCACAAAACGAAAAAGUUGCAAUUCGUAAACCUUCAAUACAAGAGAAUUUGGUGGGAGGAAGGCAAACGAUUCGUGAAACUGAGGUUGUCAACAAAGGCCAUAAAGACCAUUGAGAAAAAUGGACUUGAUGCUGUAGCCAAGAAAGCUGGGAUUGAUCUCAGCAAGAAGUAGAACCUGGAACCUGAUAGCAUAUUUGUUUGGACACUAAUUUUGAUGCCCUCAAAAACCAUAACUUUAUUUUUUGGCAUUGCUUGUUGAUUUGUAGUUAUAUGUUUUCAUGAUAUUACUCUCCAAGCAUA